AUGCAGCGGUACCAGCGGCGGCUGCGGCGGCCCCGGCUGCAAAUCGCCGUCGUGUGGUUGCUACUGGCAACCGAGCCUCUGCCUAGCGCGCAGCCCUGCAGCUCCUGGAAGGAAGGUGGCGAGGGGAAGCGGCUGCGGCGCCGCCGCCUCGCUGCGGCCCGCGCCCCGCGGUCCCUUCGGGAUCUGACCGCGGCUGUGAGGCGCGGAGGGCCGAAGGGCUCUUCGGAUGGGGGUGUCGCCGCCUCGGAAGCGUCAAAUUACUGGCGCCCUCUGUGCAUGCAACAUGGCAGCUCCGGCUCGAAGACUGGGUGCAUUCGGUCGGCCGCGGAGGCGGGGGCCGCGCGCUCUGCAGGGCGCCCACCAGCUCCUUCACCAGGCGGGGAGCCGGGCCUGCUCGCGCCCCCGACCCGGGGCCGGGCGGAGCCCCGGGCUGCCGCGCGCGCGGACUCGCCUCGCGUUCACCCCGCGGCCCUUUGUUCUGGCGCUAGGCAGGCGCCUCACGCUUCGGGGGCUGUUCAAGGAGACCCUCGAAGACCCGGCCACCCCAGGUGGGACGCCAGGCCUCCCAGCGCCCUGCGCCUCUGUCUAGCGUCCCCGGUCCCCGAAGGGCGCCGGGCCGGGCUGGAAGCGCGAGCGCGGGAUCCUAACCCGACCUUCGCGAGGGGCCGCCUCUCGUCGGGUGGGUUCCUUCCCUGGGCGGAGCUCCUCACGCCGAGAGGUGUGAGGCGCGCUACCCGGCAGGGCUGCGGGCCGGCGGGAAGACCACGCCCGUCACGGCCGCAGGGCAGUGGCAUUCUCCGCCGGGAGACGCGGAGCGCUGCGGGCUCGCCAGCGCCCCGGUCUCCGAAAAACGGGGAGGCAAACGCCGCGCUGAGGUGUGCGCCGGGCCCCGCGUCGCCUCGCUCCGGCCGCCGUCGCCGCCCGCGAGGAGACGUCCCCGCCCUGGGUCCGGGGCGCGCCGAGCGGCCCACCGGGAGUGGCCGAGGGGGCCGGCGCCCCCGCGGGGGAGGGUUGGGGGACACUUGGCAUCUCUAA
RNAcentral lists this long non-coding RNA (1035 nucleotides) under Canis lupus dingo (dingo). RNAcentral's name for it is "lncRNA (ENSCAFG00020026168.1)". Lineage: Eukaryota; Metazoa; Chordata; Mammalia; Carnivora; Canidae. The record is from RNAcentral.